This 4846-nucleotide long non-coding RNA is filed under the name Homo sapiens (human). RNAcentral describes it as "HSALNT0324956". Lineage: Eukaryota; Metazoa; Chordata; Mammalia; Primates; Hominidae. The record is from RNAcentral.
ACUGACUAGGCCGGCGUUGGGUGGAAUAGGCAGCGGCUGGAAGGCCCGCACGCCGCCCUCGGCCCGCCGCGGCGCGCAGACCCCGGCGUGCAGACAUGCGCGCUAGGGCCGGUGUCACCGGGCUGCCGCCUGAGCCGCGCUGCGCGUGCGCAGGGCAGCGUGGCCGUCACCGCCGCCGGUGGAAGUUUCCGAGCAGCCGGGCGGGGGCAGCGGACGCCACCGCAGGCGCUUCCCCCGCCGGCCGGCCCUCCCUCCUGACGUAAGGGCGGGCCCCGGUCGCAGAUCCCGCCCCAGGUCUCUCAUCCGAGGGUCCGUGCAGCAGGUCACGCUGCGCUCUCUGGGGUCCGCGCGUCGGCCCACGUGCUCCCUGCACCUCGCGGGGUGAGCGGCCAGCGUGCCGUGCCGGGUGGCUGGCUCCGCCGCUCCGGAGCCGGGAAGGACACGCGGCAGAGUCCUGCUCCCUAGCGGGUCUGCUUACAGGCGUUUGGUUUGCUUUUUAAAAUGAUUUUCUAUGCGAAAAGUGAAGUGAAAACUUCCAAGUUAAUUCCCUGGGCAAAAUGGGCAGUGCUAGCCGAGGAACGGCUGGUGGGCGGCGCGUCCGGCCCCCGGCUUCGGUUUUUCCAGCUGCACCGAGCGGGCAGGAGUCAGUGGGAAACCGCCCGCCAUCCACAGCCUGCCGUUUGCCAUCCCGGUGUCCCGAGCGCGAUGGAAGCCGGGUUGACAGUGGCACUGUUUGGAAUACAGCGCCAACCACACAUCCUGUGAGGUCCAAAGCAAACGCCAGUGUCGUUGAUCAUCGCGGUGCCCCGCGAGCCUGGGCGACGUGAGGCCCCGCGGCUGCCGCCCUGUCUUCAGGCGGAGUCCCCGCAAAUGCACUCCCGGGCCAGGGCCCUGAAGCUGCCUUAGCCCAGUGGCGCCCGGGCUCCAAGCCUUUUAAGUAGAACGGGACCUGGCCUUCGUACAGGCGUGUUGUAAAUGCUACCCCCUCGUCUCCAGCACAGAUGAGUAGACAUUACUAAGCACUUGACCCUUCAAACAUCGCCCCAACAGGAAAGGUCCGUGUGUUGCAUACAAAGGCUUUGGGGCAAGUGGUGGUGGUUAGUAAUGAAAAUGAAUGUUUCAGACGUUUUCAAAUACCUUCAUAUUGUACACGUGGAAAUCAUGACCAAGGAUUAGAACGUGCAUUCAGUAAACUACAGAAAAUCACACACAAGUCAAACGGCCGUUAUUCUGGAGCUGUUUGCUUCCAAUGGCUCAGUCCAAAAUCCUUGGUCAUGCCUGGCUCCUCUCUCUGUCCACAAUGAACACAUCCUCUUGGCUCCACUGCCCGAAACAACCAGAACCCAACUGCUACCCCUCCUCCUCCCUCCACCCCUCUUUCCCCGCCACCCGUCCAUUUUAAAGCAGUGCCUUCUAGCUGGUUUCCCACAUUCUGCACAGCUGCUCGUGUGAUCCUUUUUAAAAAACAAAAAAGAUGUUACUAUUUUAAAAAUCAUCUCAUGCCACUCUUAGAAUACUAUGCAGCCGUAAAAAGGAAUGAGAUCAUGACCUUUGUGGGGACAUGAAUGGAGGUGGAAGCCACUAUCCUCAGCAAACUAACACAGGAACAGAAAACCAAACACCGCAUGUUCUCAGUAAUAAGGGGGAGCUGAGCAAUGAGAAUGCAUCGACACAGGGAGGGGAACAACACACACCGGGACCUGUUGGGGGUUAGGGGAAGGGAGAGCAUCAGGAUAAAUAGCUAAUGCAUGCAGGGCUUAAUGCCUAGGUGAUGGGUUCACAAGUGCAGCAAACCACCAUGGCACACAUUUACCUAUGUAACAAACCUGCACGUCUUGCACGUGUAUCCCAGAAUUUAAAGUUGACAUUUUAAAAAAUUCAGUCCAUGCCACUCCUCUGCUCAAAACCCUCCAGUGGCUUUCUCAUUCAGCAAAAUGGAACAACCUUGCUAUGACCUGCAAGUCCCUUAUCCCCUGGUCCUUCCCCUCUUCCCCUGCCCUCACCUCCCAGCGCUUUCCCUAGCCCAAACAAUACCAGCCAGAAGCACCCCUGGCACACUCCUGCCUCAGGGCCUUUGCACUUGCUGUUCCAUCUGCCUGACAUGCGUUCCCUCCUCCCCAUCUUAGUGAGGACGUCCAAGUGGCUCUUUAGUCUAAACUGCAAACAUAACCCUCAGCAUCCCGUUUCCCUUCCCCAUUUGCUUUUUCUCCCUUAGUUUCCUGGAGCUGAGUAACAAAAUGUCACAAACUGGGUGGCUUAAAACAACAAACGCAUGCUCUCACAGUCCUAGAGGCUGAACGUCCAAAAUCAAGUUGUCAGCAAGGCCGUGUAUCCUCUGAAGGCUGUAAGGGAGUGUGCCCCAUGCUCUCCUCUCAGCUUCUGGUGUUGCUGGCAAACCGUGGCAUUCCUUGGCUUGUUGGUGCAUCACCCCACUCUCUGACACGUCAUCGCAUGACGUUUCCCUGUGUCCUUGAUUUGUGGAUGCAGCGCUCCACUCUCUGUCAUCAUCAUCGCAUGGCAUUUUCCCUGUGUCCAUGUCUCUUCUCAGAAAGACACCAGUGGCAUUGGAUUAGGGCACCCUAGUGUCUUCCUCCUAACCUGAUUACAUCUGCAAAGAGUUUCCAAAUAAGGUCAUAUUCGCAGGCACCCAGGGUUGGGACUUGAUCAUAUCUUUUUGGGGGACACUAUACCACGUCAUAUGUAUUUUAUCUCAUUUAUCAUUUGUGUCCCCCGCCCCAUUAGAAUGCAUGCUCCGUGAAGAGAGGAUAGGAAUGGCUUGUCCCUGCUGUGUAUCAGCUCAAGGAUUGUCUGACACAUCAGUCCUUGGUGAACAUUGGCAGAAUGACUGGCAGCUGAUUGAUUGGCCCAGCGGGAAUGGACACGGGCAGUUGCCCUUGUCCAGCUUCCAGGAUCUGUUACACAGGCCUAAAGCAACAACCAGAAGCCUUCCUGGGUGUUUACAUUACAGCACACCAGACUGCAGGCACCGCCACCCCAGACUCUGCCUGCAGCUAAAGUCACCAAGUUUGCCGUGCCCCAUAACUGAGGUCAUUGGCAGCCCAGCACCAAGCCUCACUGGCAUCAAGGGCAGCGGGUUAGUAAGCAUGGCUCCACACGGGUAAGCAGUUCUAGGAAAUGGGAAGAAACCCAGACCAUCCAUCUCAGGGUAAGUUUGCUGGAUUUUCUCUCUCUUUUAAGAGUCUUUCAACAGGGCAUACAGCCCAUUCUCAAAUUUAGAUUUCUGUUUUUGUUAAGAACAGGGACUGUGGAACGAAUUUGCCUGACUUUGCCAUCAUUCUGCCAUUUCCUAGCUAUGUGGCCUCAGGCAAACUGAUUAAACUUACUGGCCUCAGAAUGGGGAAAAUUUCUGUAACUCAUGCCUGGAAUUACGUGAAGAUGAAAAGCAGGCAUGUCCAUGAGAUGCUUACAAGAGGGACCAGCGCCGUGUACCUAUUCUGUGCAUCCUACCCGUCCACUGUUCCUUCUCCGUGUUUCUUGAAGAAGCUGGAGUUUUCUUUCAGUCUUCUGCUUCUCCUGUUGCUUCCUCUAACUGAAGGAAGAAUCAGUCCAUGGCUUCUGCUCCAUGCUUUCUGCUCUUGGUUCAGGCUCCAACUUUCCCAUUAAUGGAAGAGAAUGGCUCUCCUGCUCCCAGCUGUAAUGAACUAAUUAAUUUUUCUAUCUCUCUAAUCAUUCUCUAUUCCCUGCCAAACCCUCUGGGUGUCUGUUUUGUUCUAUUGUUCAAGCCUGGACUUUGAGGGUAGGCUGGGGGCAUUGCUAGUCCCCACAAUUGCUAAUCCAGGCACUUGAGUCAUUAUCUUCUAUACAUCACACUUAACAACCAGAGGGAAGUGCAACCUCGUGGGCCUCGGAAAGGAAACCACCCACAGACUUGUGCGCCUUCUUCGCAGGCCAGGCUCUCCUUCCCCCAUGGUAAGAAGGUGAAGACUUGGAGAUUGGUGAGUCAGGCAAUCAAGGUCAAAUUGACAUACUCUAGAAGAUUACAUGCCGUGUGGAACAGUACUGGGCAGUGGACCCACUGGGACAGGGGCUCAGGAGGCUAUGGCAGUCCCGCAGGAGAUUCUGGAGUAACAGACAUCCCCAGGACCUCAGCGUUUCAUAGGAACGACAUGGCACACAUUGGUGGUGGCUGUCCUCCCAGGCAGUACCCCACAUCUUGUCUUCCGUGUUUGGGCACCCAGGCUGGAGUAGCAACCCAUCUCAGUCAAUGGCAAAGGAAGAGGGGCUGUGUGUGAGCAGCAGGGAACAACUUUCAGCUUAUAAUUCGGGACUUACAGGAAAGAAAAGAAAAUGUCUACUCUCCUAAGAGAAAUCUGAUCAUCUGCCGGCAUAAAUGUUGGUUGACCUUGACUCUUCUCUUUGGAUGCCUGAAAACCUGAACAAGGCAGUUGGGGCCAGGACAGCCCAGAAAGGCAGGUUUGAGUGGGGGCCCCGGCCUUUACAGAAACAUUCUAGUGUCCAUGGUGAUCCUACCGGAAAGCCAGUGUCAAGAACCACUGAGCCCCAGGACGCAGGUUUCCUUGCCUCUAUCAAGAUACAGGCCCCGCUACAGUACUGCUGAGAGCAAGAAAUAGAAGCACCUGCAAGACAGUGCAGCCCUCACAAGCUAGACAUUUGAUGUCAUGGGAAAACUUGCACCCAGGCAGUUGAGUGCACUUGUUCAGCAGACCUGUUGGGGAUAAUGGGAAGAGGGAGCAUAUCUGGCUGACCUUGAGGACAGAAAGGAACUCUCAUCAAAAUUACUUGACCAAGAGAACAUUCCAGGUGCCCAACUCUGCCAAACAUAAUAGCAAAUAUGUACCAGGAAAGUAAGAAAAACUUAUGGGUU